This 647-nucleotide ribosomal RNA is filed under the name uncultured Actinomycetes bacterium. RNAcentral describes it as "bacterial SSU rRNA". It matches the Rfam family "Bacterial small subunit ribosomal RNA", at positions 63 to 707 of the family's 1533-position model. Lineage: Bacteria; Bacillati; Actinomycetota; Actinomycetes. The record is from RNAcentral.
CGAACGCUGAAGCCUAGCUUGCUGGGUGGAUGAGUGGCGAACGGGUGAGUAACACGUGAGUAACCUGCCCUCUUCUUUGGGAUAACGCCCGGAAACGGGUGCUAAUACUGGAUAUUCACUGGCCUUCGCAUGGGGGUUGGUGGAAAGGUUUUUUCUGGUGGGGGAUGGGCUCGCGGCCUAUCAGCUUGUUGGUGGGGUGAUGGCCUACCAAGGCUUUGACGGGUAGCCGGCCUGAGAGGGUGACCGGUCACAUUGGGACUGAGAUACGGCCCAGACUCCUACGGGAGGCAGCAGUGGGGAAUAUUGCACAAUGGGCGAAAGCCUGAUGCAGCGACGCCGCGUGAGGGAUGGAGGCCUUCGGGUUGUAAACCUCUUUCGCUCAUGGUCAAGCCGCAACUGUGGGUUGUGGUGAGGGUAGUGGGUAAAGAAGCGCCGGCUAACUACGUGCCAGCAGCCGCGGUAAUACGUAGGGCGCGAGCGUUGUCCGGAAUUAUUGGGCGUAAAGGGCUUGUAGGCGGUUGGUCGCGUCUGCCGUGAAAUCCUCUGGCUCAACUGGGGGCGUGCGGUGGGUACGGGCUGACUUGAGUGCGGUAGGGGAGACUGGAACUCCUGGUGUAGCGGUGGAAUGCGCAGAUAUCAGGAAGAAC